AGAGUCGCCCGGAUCACCGCGUUGCGCCCAGAUUAAUUUCUAGGUGGACCGAGGAAAGUCCGGACUUCGCAGAGCAAGGUGGUGGGUAACACCCACCCGGAGAAAUCCGCGGGAUUAGUGCCACAGAAAAUAGACCGCACAUGAAAAUGUGUAAGGGUGAAACGGUGGUGUAAGAGACCACCAGUAUUUGUAGUGAUG
Molecule: RNase P RNA, 198 nt
Filed under: Actinomycetota bacterium
Lineage: Bacteria; Bacillati; Actinomycetota
Description: Actinobacteria bacterium partial RNase P RNA component class A
Rfam family: Bacterial RNase P class A
About the family: Ribonuclease P (RNase P) is a ubiquitous endoribonuclease, found in archaea, bacteria and eukarya as well as chloroplasts and mitochondria. Its best characterised activity is the generation of mature 5'-ends of tRNAs by cleaving the 5'-leader elements of precursor-tRNAs. Cellular RNase Ps are ribonucleoproteins.
Source: RNAcentral